GGAGGCAGCAGUAGGGAAUCUUCGGCAAUGGACGCAAGUCUGACCCGAGCAACGCCGCGUGAGUGAAGAAGGUUUCGGAUCGUAAAGCUCUGUUGUCAGCAAAGAACAGGAGAAAGAGGCAAUGCUUUUUCUAUGACGGUAGCUGACCAGAAAGCCACGGCUAACUACGUGCCAGCAGCCGCGGUAAUACGUAGGUGGCAAGCGUUGUCCGGAUUUAUUGGGCGUAAAGCGAGCGCAGGCGGUGAUUUAAGUCUGAUGUGAAAGCCCCCAGCUCAACUGGGGAGGGUCAUUGGAAACUGGAUCACUUGAGUGCAGAAGAGGAGAGUGGAAUUCCAUGUGUAGCGGUGAAAUGCGUAGAUAUAUGGAGGAACACCAGUGGCGAAGGCGGCUCUCUGGUCUGUAACUGACGCUGAGGCUCGAAAGCGUGGGUAGCAAACAGGAUUAGAUACCCUGGUAGUCCACGCCGUAAACGAUGAGUGCUAAGUGUUGGAGGGUUUCCGCCCUUCAGUGCUGCAGUUAACGCAUUAAGCACUCCGCCUGGGGAGUACGACCGCAAGGUUGAAACUCAAAGGAAUUGACGGGGGCCCGCACAAGCGGUGGAGCAUGUGGUUUAAUUCGAAGCAACGCGAAGAACCUUACCAGGUCUUGACAUCCUUUGACCGCCCUAGAGAUAGGGUUUCCCCUUCGGGGGCAAAGUGACAGGUGGUGCAUGGUUGUCGUCAGCUCGUGUCGUGAGAUGUUGGGUUAAGUCCCGUAACGAGCGCAACCCUUAUUGUUAGUUGCCAGCAUUGCGUUGGGCACUCUAGCAAGACUGCCGGUGACAAACCGGAGGAAGGCGGGGAUGACGUCAAAUCAUCAUGCCCCUUAUGACCUGGCUACACACGUG
This 886-nucleotide ribosomal RNA is filed under the name Tetragenococcus halophilus. RNAcentral's name for it is "bacterial SSU rRNA". It matches the Rfam family "Bacterial small subunit ribosomal RNA", at positions 344 to 1224 of the family's 1533-position model. The record is from RNAcentral. Lineage: Bacteria; Bacillati; Bacillota; Bacilli; Lactobacillales; Enterococcaceae.